RNAcentral lists this long non-coding RNA (274 nucleotides) under Elaeis guineensis (African oil palm). RNAcentral's name for it is "long non-coding RNA (EGUI_LNC050308)". The record is from RNAcentral. Lineage: Eukaryota; Viridiplantae; Streptophyta; Magnoliopsida; Arecales; Arecaceae.
AAUCCUUCUCAUGACUUGGUGAUGUCAGUGAGAGGAUUAUGACUUGUAGGUCGACUGAUGUCCUCUAAGAUAUAUUAACCAAAUCUUCUAAAUUAUUAGAUCCAUAAAAUAAGCUAGUUAUGGGGAUAACUAGAUCAUAGCCUCCUAUUAAGGUGUGUGAUAAUGAGUCCAAUAUCCCAAAUAGGUAUUGGAGGUGCCACACGCCUGGUGUCUAUUACGUAUUAGAAUUAUCAUUCAUUAUAUGACUAUCUUAUUCUACCUUCAGAUCAAUGCU